GGAAUAUGACAUGUCUGGACAGAACCGCGGACAGGACACUGGACUAGGGAAGCUGUUUGCAGGCUUCUUAGAGAUGUGGAGUACAAAUAAUCAUAGCAGAGGUGGAUCACUGGAUCUGACUGAUGGUGAUGAUAUCAAAGAAGAGAAUGGCUUGUUUGAGAAAAGGAUAGAAACAAGGCUGCGUUGCUCUACUGUCUGUUGAAGAAGGUAACUUGCUCCAAGUCCAAGAAGAUGGAAGAAGGCUAUAUAUUAAAUAUUUCUGAUUAAAUGUAUGAAAAGGUAAAAAGAAGAGAUGUAAUGCCCUUGUGGGGCGUAUUUUAGAACUCUUAAUCAAAAGAAGCAGCUGAAGGAAAUAGAUACCAAAAGCAUCUGAAGUAAAGACAAUAAUGAUCUCUGAUUCCUGACAUUUUCCUGAUCUCUAGCUGAUAGAGACUGAUUUAAGUUUGGAAGCAUAUAGUUUAAUACUUUUCCAGGAAUGUUGUCAUUUAUCAUAAUUCUGGAAACUCUUGACUUUCAUUCCUGGAAGUACAAGGCUACUAAAUCAAGUUCCUCUUCCAUCUCUGCUUCUUCUGAUUGUACCAUGAAUUUGAGGCCUUCCUGCUAAUUAUUGACAUAAUUAAAAAAUGGUCUUAUUUAGAACCUAUAUGUAAACACACAUUAUUCAUAUAAUCGGUUACCUGACCCGAUCAGUCACUACUCCCAGGUAUUGCAGCAUCUGCUGCCUGCAUGAAACCUAAGUCAGCAAAUAUCAGAUUGAUUUUGGUGGGAAAAAGAGAGAU
Long non-coding RNA from Harpia harpyja (harpy eagle), 779 nucleotides. RefSeq lists it as uncharacterized. NCBI's taxonomy places the organism in Eukaryota, Metazoa, Chordata, Aves, Accipitriformes, Accipitridae. The transcript has 3 exons. The record is from RefSeq and is a predicted model, not a curated record.